This 70-nucleotide transfer RNA is filed under the name Calophya californica. RNAcentral's name for it is "tRNA-Pro". Lineage: Eukaryota; Metazoa; Arthropoda; Insecta; Hemiptera; Calophyidae. The record is from RNAcentral.
AAGUCUUAUAAUAAAUUUCAAUUCAGUAAGUAGUUUAAUUAAAAUUUUAAUUUUGGAAAUUAAAGAUAUA